This is a non-coding RNA of Lactobacillus kefiranofaciens subsp. kefirgranum, 108 nucleotides long. Lineage: Bacteria; Bacillati; Bacillota; Bacilli; Lactobacillales; Lactobacillaceae. The record is from Rfam.
CUGGCUUGGUAACUCACUUGAUUACCAAUGAUGGUAUUGCGGAAAGACUAUUGCAAUAUUAAUAAAAUAAGCACACAAAAAAAGCUCGCAAAUUGCGAGCUUUUUUAU